GAUGAACGCUGGCGGCGUGCCUAAUACAUGCAAGUCGAGCGAACGGACGAGAAGCUUGCUUUUCUGAUGUUAGCGGCGGACGGGUGAGUAACACGUGGAUAACCUACCUAUAAGACUGGGAUAACUUCGGGAAACCGGAGCUAAUACCGGAUAAUCUUUUGAACCGCAUGGUUCAAAAGUGAAAGACGGUCUUGCUGUCACUUAUCGAUGGAUCCGCGCUGCAUUAGCUAGUUGGUAAGGUAACGGCUUACCAAGGCAACGAUGCAUAGCCGACCUGAGAGGGUGAUAGGCCACACUGGAACUGAGACACGGUCCAGACUCCUACGGGAGGCAGCAGUAGGGAAUCUUACGCAAUGGGCGAAAGCCUGACGGAGCAACGCCGCGUGAGUGAUGAAGAUCUUCGGAUCGUAAAACUCUGUUAUUAGGGAAGAACAUAUGUGUAAGGAACUGUGCACAUAUUGACGGUACCUAAUCAGAAAGCCACGGCUAACUACGUG
Molecule: ribosomal RNA, 497 nt
Filed under: uncultured bacterium
Lineage: Bacteria
Description: partial 16S ribosomal RNA
Rfam family: Bacterial small subunit ribosomal RNA
Source: RNAcentral